This 379-nucleotide unclassified non-coding RNA is filed under the name uncultured Alphaproteobacteria bacterium. RNAcentral describes it as "contains 16S-23S intergenic spacer region". Lineage: Bacteria; Pseudomonadati; Pseudomonadota; Alphaproteobacteria. The record is from RNAcentral.
UCCGGUUUAUCACCGGCAGUUUCCUUAGAGUCCCCGACAUUACUCGCUGGCAACUAAGGAUGAGGGUUGCGCUCGUUGCGGGACUUAACCCAACAUCUCACGACACGAGCUGACGACAGCCAUGCAACACCUGUGUGUGGUCCAGCCGAACUGACUCCCUAAUCUCUUAGGGAUAUAACCACCAUGUCAAGGGUUGGUAAGGUUUUUCGCGUUGCAUCGAAUUAAACCACAUGCUCCACCGCUUGUGCGGGUCCCCGUCAAUUCCUUUGAGUUUUAACCUUGCGGCCGUACUCCCCAGGCGGGGUGCUUAACGCGUUAGCUACGACACCGAAGCUCAAGGCCCCGAUAUCUAGCACCCAUCGUUUACGGCGUGGACUAC